Neocloeon triangulifer is the source of this 1223-nucleotide long non-coding RNA. RefSeq lists it as uncharacterized. The record is from RefSeq and is a predicted model, not a curated record. NCBI's taxonomy places the organism in Eukaryota, Metazoa, Arthropoda, Insecta, Ephemeroptera, Baetidae. The transcript has 3 exons.
CUGACUGUCCUGGGACGAGUCCUCAGGGUCGAAGAGGCCGACGACCUAGGCCACUCCAAAGUCGGAGAUCUUCAGGGUGCCGUCCAUGGUCAGCAGGUCGCCCGGCUUCAGGUCUUUGUGCACCACCCUUCGUCUGUGCAAAUACGUACCCCUCUGUAGGACCCUUCGCCCACCACGUAUCGUCCAACCAUUAGCACGCCUUUUGGACCGCGCUGGUAAAUGACUUGGACCUGCCAAUGAGAAGUUAAAUAUUCGUGGCAAACAAAAAGAGGAGUUUGGAAAAUACAUAGAAAUAUAAACCUAAUCUCCGAAUCAACCUUGUGGAAGAGCAAAAGUUCCUCCUCCUCCCAGUUAUCAUCCGUUCUUUGGCAGUGUGAGUGCUGAUAGCUGUAGAAAAUUAAUUUGGAUUAUUUGGAAAAUUUUAUUGACGACGUAAAGUCGGCGUGCCCGACUGUGCCCGACUUCAAAGCCGCAGUAAACAUUGCCACGCCCCCGGCCAGUCGAGUUUCUAAAGUUUACAAGCAAAGUCACAUUUCGGACAAUUCUUGCCGAUUUGAAUCGCCGUCGGCCGUCGUCGGCGGACGACGCCGCAACAGGAAUUGCCAAUGAAGAAACAUCCUUUUAGCAAGUAGCGAAAAGACUUGCAAGCGGUGAAGAGGUGAAGACCAAAGUCAUGAGCCGCCUGUACUGUGAGCCGAGUUCACAUGACUCACGUGACUGGCCAGCCGCCAAUCGAGAGGACACCUUUUUCUUCCUCACGCUUGCAGAACUUCUUGCUUGUGUAGACGUCGGAGGCGACUUGAAACCACAUGGUCGCAAAUUUGAGCGCUUCCAGAAGUACUUUUCCAUCAACUCCUACUCGGGAGAAGAAACAUCAGUGAAGCCGUUGAGGUCGAGAAGAGUGCCGAUCUUAAACGGCCGCUUCGGUAAAGCGGCCGAAAGUUGGCGAUUUUCAGCUUAUGCAGGCCCGCUUCACUUGCCCUGGAGCUCGACGCUUUGCAAUCUUUGCUCGCAGCGAGCACGCACCGACCUGUUCAGCAAGCACACCGCUGGCGAGUCGUAUGCGGUGCAUACUUGCUGCGCUCUGCACUAAUCGGCUAUUUAAAAAUAUUUCCAACAUUUUAAUAUAUACUCUCUAUAGUUUUAUUUCAUGUGUUAAUAAAAUGAAAAAAUCUUUACAUGAAAAAUAAAAAAAAAUAAACAUUUUCUUGUGCAACUUUUAU